AUGGUCCUGAUUUUCCUGGCAGCUCUGGUGGGACUGGCAUAUUUUGGUCAUGCACAGAAGGACUCUGUGCUCCAAUUCCCUCCAGAAAGGACCAUCCAGGCAGGAUACGACACAACACUGCACUGCAAUUUCUCCACCAACUAUUCCGGUGCCUUCACCUACUGGUACCAGCAGCUCCCAAAGCAGUCCCCUCAGAUGCUGUUGUGGGUGAGCAAAUACAAAGCUCAUGUGGAUUCAGGGAGGUUCUCCUCCAUGCUGUCUGCAGAGGACUCCCAGGUGCUUCUGCAUAUGCGCGAUGCCGAGCUCCAGGACAACGCUCUCUACCUCUGCGCACUGAACCCACAUCUGUGCCCUCAGUGUGCAGCACUGCACAAGAAGGGGAGGGUGUACCCUGGGGAGUGA
Molecule: non-coding RNA, 402 nt
Organism: Chroicocephalus ridibundus (black-headed gull)
Lineage: Eukaryota; Metazoa; Chordata; Aves; Charadriiformes; Laridae
Source: the annotation of a RefSeq genome assembly